GAUGAACGCUGGCGGCGUGCCUAAUACAUGCAAGUCGAGCGAACGGACGAGAAGCUUGCUUCUCUGAUGUUAGCGGCGGACGGGUGAGUAACACGUGGAUAACCUACCUAUAAGACUGGGAUAACUUCGGGAAACCGGAGCUAAUACCGGAUGAUAUUUUGAACCGCAUGGUUCAAAAGUGAAAGACGGCCUUGCUGUCACUUAUAGAUGGAUCCGCGCUGCAUUAGCUAGUUGGUAAGGUAACGGCUUACCAAGGCAACGAUGCAUAGCCGACCUGAGAGGGUGAUCGGCCACACUGGAACUGAGACACGGUCCAGACUCCUACGGGAGGCAGCAGUAGGGAAUCUUCCGCAAUGGGCGAAAGCCUGACGGAGCAACGCCGCGUGAGUGAUGAAGGUCUUCGGAUCGUAAAACUCUGUUAUUAGGGAAGAACAUAUGUGUAAGUAACUGUGCACAUCUUGACGGUACCUAAUCAGAAAGCCACGGCUAACUACGUGCCAGCAGCCGCGGUAAUACGUAGGUGGCAAGCGUUAUCCGGAAUUAUUGGGCGUAAAGCGCGCGUAGGCGGUUUUUUAAGUCUGAUGUGAAAGCCCACGGCUCAACCGUGGAGGGUCAUUGGAAACUGGAAAACUUGAGUGCAGAAGAGGAAAGUGGAAUUCCAUGUGUAGCGGUGAAAUGCGCAGAGAUAUGGAGGAACACCAGUGGCGAAGGCGACUUUCUGGUCUGUAACUGACGCUGAUGUGCGAAAGCGUGGGGAUCAAACAGGAUUAGAUACCCUGGUAGUCCACGCCGUAAACGAUGAGUGCUAAGUGUUAGGGGGUUUCCGCCCCUUAGUGCUGCAGCUAACGCAUUAAGCACUCCGCCUGGGGAGUACGACCGCAAGGUUGAAACUCAAAGGAAUUGACGGGGACCCGCACAAGCGGUGGAGCAUGUGGUUUAAUUCGAAGCAACGCGAAGAACCUUACCAAAUCUUGACAUCCUUUGACAACUCUAGAGAUAGAGCCUUCCCCUUCGGGGGACAAAGUGACAGGUGGUGCAUGGUUGUCGUCAGCUCGUGUCGUGAGAUGUUGGGUUAAGUCCCGCAACGAGCGCAACCCUUAAGCUUAGUUGCCAUCAUUAAGUUGGGCACUCUAAGUUGACUGCCGGUGACAAACCGGAGGAAGGUGGGGAUGACGUCAAAUCAUCAUGCCCCUUAUGAUUUGGGCUACACACGUGCUACAAUGGACAAUACAAAGGGCAGCGAAACCGCGAGGUCAAGCAAAUCCCAUAAAGUUGUUCUCAGUUCGGAUUGUAGUCUGCAACUCGACUACAUGAAGCUGGAAUCGCUAGUAAUCGUAGAUCAGCAUGCUACGGUGAAUACGUUCCCGGGUCU
This 1372-nucleotide ribosomal RNA is filed under the name uncultured bacterium. RNAcentral describes it as "bacterial SSU rRNA". It matches the Rfam family "Bacterial small subunit ribosomal RNA", at positions 28 to 1381 of the family's 1533-position model. The record is from RNAcentral.